This 183-nucleotide ribosomal RNA is filed under the name uncultured bacterium. RNAcentral describes it as "partial 16S ribosomal RNA". It matches the Rfam family "Bacterial small subunit ribosomal RNA", at positions 1319 to 1500 of the family's 1533-position model. The record is from RNAcentral.
CGUGAAGUUGGAAUUGCUAGUAAUCGCGGAUCAGCAUGCCGCGGUGAAUACGUUCCCGGGCCCUUGUACACACCGCCCGUCACACCAUGGGAGCCGGUAAUGCCCGAAGUCAGUAGCCUAACCGCAAGGAGGGCGCUGCCGAAGGUAGGAUUGGCGACUGGGGUGAAGUCGUAACAAGGUACC